RNAcentral lists this long non-coding RNA (197 nucleotides) under Cyanistes caeruleus (blue tit). RNAcentral's name for it is "lncRNA (ENSCCEG00000010474.1)". The record is from RNAcentral. Lineage: Eukaryota; Metazoa; Chordata; Aves; Passeriformes; Paridae.
AAUCAAUGUGAUCGUGUUGUGGCAGCGAGGGAGAGGCCCAACUGCAUAAAGUUGAAGCUGUCUUGUGAAUCAGAAAAAUGUAUAUAUCCCUAUCUAAGUUACAAUAAAAGAUACAGCAUGAAGUUUCCUCAGCAUUGUAGACAGUGGGGUGAAAAAGCAUCAGGGAGAGUCUGACUAAAAGAGACCUGACAAACCAC